GACGAACGCUGGCGGCGUGCUUAACACAUGCAAGUCGAACGGAAAGGCCCUGCUUUUGUGGGGUGCUCGAGUGGCGAACGGGUGAGUAACACGUGAGUAACCUGCCCUAGCCUUUGGGAUAACUUCAGGAAACUGGGGCUAAUACCGGAUAGGAGCUCCUGCUGCAUGGUGGGGGUUGGAAAGUUUCGGCGGUUGGGGAUGGACUCGCGGCCUAUCAGAUUGUUGGUGGGGUAGUGGCUUAGCAAGGCGUUGACGGGUAGCCGGCCUGAGAGGGUGACCGGCCCCAGUGGGCCUGAGGUGCGGCCCGGACUCCUACGUGGGGCAGCAGUGGGAGAUAGUGCACGAUGGGCGGAAGCCUGAUGCAGCAAUGCCGCGUGCUGGAUGUCGGCCUUCGGGUUGUAAACCGCUUGCGCCUGUGACGAAGCGUGAGUGACGGUAUUGGGUAAGGAAGCACCGGCUAACUACGUG
This 468-nucleotide ribosomal RNA is filed under the name uncultured bacterium. RNAcentral describes it as "partial 16S ribosomal RNA". It matches the Rfam family "Bacterial small subunit ribosomal RNA", at positions 28 to 507 of the family's 1533-position model. The record is from RNAcentral.